GUGUCAGCAGCCGCGGUAAUACGGAGUGGGCUAGCGUUGUUCGGAAUUACUGGGCGUAAAGGGCGCGUAGGCGGGCGCAUAAGUCGGGGGUGAAAUCCCGGGGCUCAACCCCGGAACUGCCUCCGAUACUGUGUGCCUUGAGGACGGGAGAGGUGAGUGGAAUUCCGAGUGUAGAGGUGAAAUUCGUAGAUAUUCGGAGGAACACCGGUGGCGAAGGCGGCUCACUGGCCCGAUCCUGACGCUGAGGCGCGAAAGCGUGGGGAGCAAACAGGAUUAGAUACCCUGGCAGUCCACGCCCUAAACGAGGAGUGCCAGUUGUUGGCGGGCAUGCCCGUCAGUGACGCAGCUAACGCUUUGAGCACUCCGCCUGGGGAGUACGGCCGCAAGGUUAAAACUUAAAGGAAUUGACGGGG
This 413-nucleotide ribosomal RNA is filed under the name uncultured prokaryote. Its description in RNAcentral is "bacterial SSU rRNA". It matches the Rfam family "Bacterial small subunit ribosomal RNA", at positions 505 to 918 of the family's 1533-position model. The record is from RNAcentral.